UGCUCCAUUGGCAUCAUAUUCAUCGGAGUCGUCACCCUCAACUUAUUGUUGUCCUUCGCCGUCUAUUAUGAAUCUGCCUCAUAUUCCUCCACCCUCAUUCUUUGUGUAGAAGAUGUAGUGGCAUCCAUGACCAUGGCCCAUGUCAAUUCUUCAUACCCCUUAGCUCAUCAUCAUCAACUAACGACUCCAUAGCAUUGUCCAUACUUUUUGAUCUAAUGGGGUCUCUCUUAUCCCUCUUAGCAAACCGGUCAUUCAAGAAUCGAUUAUACUUGAUAUAGACUAGGUCAUUGAGCCUCUUUGAUUCAAUUCAGUUCCUUCUCUUUGUAUGAAUCUAACAAACUCAAAUGAAACUAACUAAAAUCUAUGGUUCAUGUAUUAUUAAUACAAUUAUACAAAUUACCCUUACAGCCUUACCCCUUCAAAAGUACUGCAAUUGCGCUCACAACCAAAUGAGGAAGUGGUCAGGUUUAAGAUCCGAAUGGACAACUUUUGUAAAUUUGGAGAACUACACCCAUGUUGGCUCCACCAAUUGGCUGCAAAGAUAUAGAAUAAAAUCAUAAAUAAAUAAUAGAAUUAUAAAAAUGAAACUUGAUUACUUGAACUUGAUGAACUUAAGAAUAUUAUUACUACUUGGAUCAAUUUUGGUCCUUUGCCUCAUCGUUAUUAGACUCCCAAAAGACUUUAAUGAGCACUUGUAAUUUAUUAGCUCAUCAGCGCAUAUAAUAUCUUGUAUAUCAGGAUAAUCAUUUGUGUGUAUAUCCUUGUCAACAUAAAAAAAAUUGGGUUCAAAUAAAAACUAGUUGCAUACAAUGGCCGCUAUAGCUGCCUAUCCCACUUCUCAUCAAUAAUCUCCCAAACAGGCUUGUAGCAGUUCUCAUCAUUAUCAAAAUUUUGGGGUAUCUUUCUUUUGUAUUUCUCUAUAGCCUCAUAUAUAUAGCCCAUAGAAGGCUUGUCACUAUCAACCCUGUGAAGGACUUUGACAAGAGGAAAAAAUACCUUAAGAGUGCCCUUCACCCCUCGCCAAAAAGCCUUAGAAAGGAUAAUAUCUCUCACCUUCUUCCCAACCUGAUCCUUGGACCACUUGCAUGCUCUCUAGUCAUCCGAGGUAAACAUCUACCUCAACUGUACUCUCCUCGAAUGUAUGCUAUCUAAGCAUAAGUACCAGGUCUCAAAUCUCGUGACCCUAGGCCUCACAAUCUCUUCUUCUUUGUAAAUCUACGCAUCAUGCUGAGGGCGAGAUGGUGGCUAUAAAUGAAAUUUGUAACUGACUUUGCCUUCUUCACUGCACCUGAUAUCUCGGUUAAACUGCCAAGCGCCUCAAGCAUGAGGUCUAUACAAUGUGCUGCGCAUGCUGUCCAAAAGAUUAUAGGAUAAGCUAUGAACAACAAAUUAGCUGCAACAACAUUAGGAGCAGCAUUGUCUGUGACAACUUGUACAACAUGAUGCUCCCCAACCUCCUUGAUUCCCUUCUCUAAAACUUGGAAUAUGUAAUGGGCAUCAUGGAUAUGAUCAGAGGCAUCAAUAGACCUAAAAAAAACAGUCCCUAAAGGACAAUUCACAGGGAAAUUCAUCUGACUUCUUUUCUUUCUAUUACCCCAAGCAUCAAUCAUAAUAAAAACCCCAUACUGAGCCCAUGCAUCCUUCUUAACUUCUACAACUUUCUUAGUGACACUCACCGCCUUUUUCAAAAGAGGCUCUGAAAGAUCAUAUGGGGUUGGGGGUUUCAUCCCAGGCUCAAAUUGGCCAAUUGCCUCUACCGAAGCACAGAAGCUGCUUAAGUGAGCGGUAUUGAAAGGAAUGCCCGCCUCAUAAAACCAUGUAGCAAGAUAAUACGCAGCUCUAUCUCUCUCUUCCUUCAUUCUAUUUUCAAUGGUGGUUUGCUUCUUUGUUUUCUCUCCUGCAACCUCAUGGACAGGCCGAGGCAAAAAACUAUCCAUAGAGCCUCUAAUCCGAGGCUUCUUACUUCCAUAACCAGAACCAGAAGUAAUUACAACUCCCUUUCCCUUUCUCCUAAUAAUGGAUUGUUCUACUUCUACCUCUUGACAUCCUUUCUCAAUCCCAUCCUCAUCACUAUCAUCAUCAUCAUAAUUGACUCAAACCCCAGACCUAAUCUCUGCUAUUGAGGCAAAUCUCUCAUCUCUUUUCAUUUUUACCAUAUUCAAAAAAUUAGUUAUUUCCUCUUGAACAGCAUCAAGAGUCUUUUUACAUGGGACAACAUCCCCCCUGAUACCGGCAAGAUGUUUCUUGAACUGGUUUAUGGCCCCUUUUGUAUCUUUAUCAUAAAAAUUGCAUCUUAUGCAUUUUUUAUCAUUAGGAUCUGGGUUGUAGCUAUAUUUCCAACCGGAAUCACCACUCCUAUUAGAUCCUGAAGAAGACUUCUCAAAAUAAUGCAAUUUAUACAAGCAAUAAAAAAAAUUCUCUUUGAUUUUGAUUGUUCAAUCUCCUAACUUCCACAUCAAAGAUGCUUCUAAGGACUCAAAAUCUUCUGAAAAGCGCCCAAUAUAUUUACAAAACAUAAAAAAUUAAAUCUAAUAUCAAUAGGUGAUGUGUUGAUCAAUUUCUUGUAACUUUAAGAAACCCUUCGAUUAUAAAGAAAUCACCAAAAAACUAGUUUUUUGGGGCUUUCUCUCUCUAAAAUGGGUUCCAAUAAGUUUUAGGUUUCAAAUGUACCUAAAACCCCCAUUUUUGGUCCUUUAGUAUAAAAAAAAAGACAAAAAUGCCCCUAACAAAAUUGUUUUCCCCCUUUGGGCGAGGUGCAGUCCCUGGGCGGUCGCCUAGGAGGUUUCUUGGGCGCCUAGGGACCACCGCUUUUUUAGGGCGCUUAGGCUUGGGCGAUGCGCUCGGGCCCCUAGAUCCACCCCGGCAGCCGCCCAAGUGCCUUGUGGUCUGCUUUAUGAAACACUGAAUAAAUAUAUCAAAAAAGUAAUUUGCAAAAAAUAAAUCGACCAAAAUACCCCUAAAACUUUUCAGGGGUAUUCUUGUCAAUUUAUUUUUUGUAAAUUUUUUUUUAAAUAUUUUAUUAGGUGUUCCUUGAUGAGAAGAAUUAACCCUUAAAAUUUCAACUGAUUUGAAUUUGUAGAAAAAUAAUUGAAUUUAAAUAUGGAAUGAGGUCGUGACCGUCCGAUCGGCCCAGAUUCGAUCUAGGCCAUUGGGCUUAUCUGUAGCUGUGAGAUAGUGGGCUAACCUCAACAAUUCCUUAUAUAUAUAUAUAUAUAUAUAUAUAUAUAUAUGCAGUUGUUCUGCUGUAUAUUAAAACUCAAUAGAUUUAUUUUUAGAGGAUAAUAUUGAUUUAUUUCUCUUCAAUACUUGCUUAAUUUAGCAAUCAAUUAGGUCUCUGCAAUACUUACUUAACUUAGCAAUCAAUAAGAAAUAUAAUAAGCAUAUUAAAAGGAUUAAGCAAAAUAUAGGGUUUUUUAUAUGCCUUAGAACUAUUCUUGAGGAAAAAGAAAUCCCGGUUCCUAAUUUUGAACUUAAUACGUUAGAAAGUCAAUACCGAACUUUCCAUACUCUAAAAGGAGAAGAAAUACAAAGCAUUCACCCUCCUGAGAGAACCUUAUACUUAAAAGGGUCGUUAAAAGACAAACCUGAAACUAAGGCUUCCCCAUAUAAAAUAAUUCUCAAAGAAAGUUAUAAAAUAGAUGUUAUUCCAAAUAUAAUUGAACAGAAUAACUAAUACAAACUUAUGUUUGCAAUCUAUUGGCAAACAAACCACCAGAAUAGAAAAUACUCUAAAUGAGUCCCGAAUCAAAACCACGCAAAAGGAUGAUAAGAAAAAGAAGGCUGUAUUAUUUAACCCCCUCUAGAAAUCAAUACAGGAAGGUUUAGCUUGGAAGGAGCCAAGAAAAAGGAAGGAGCCAAGAAAAAGGAAGAAAACAGGGAAUUGAUAGUUGAAUUAGUUAAAAAACUGUCAAAGGUAAAUAUACAAGAAGAUAAAAAGGGAAAAGGGGUUAUAGUAGAAUCAGAAGCCAUGGUCUUAUAAGAAGACUCGGCUAAUGAAGAAAUACAGGAUAUGGAAAAAUCCUUCAAAGAAACAAAUCUAGAUAUAAAUAGAAUAGACUAUGGGAAGAAGUUUAGACCUACUUCUCAUACAAGAAUGUAUCAUUCUAGACCUACUCCCGGUUGAUAUACAGUUUGAAGAAGAUUUGAUAUCAAGCACUGUAGCAUAUUCAGGAAGAACGAUUGUCAAUUGGAAUAUAGAUGGUUUGUCUGACCAUCAAAUAUUGGAUACAAUGAAGCACAUAACCGUGUAUGCUACAGCUUGUAAGGUAGCUGGAAGCCAUGGCCAAGAGAUAGCUAAAGCUAUUGUUUGUGGAUUUACUGGAUGGCUAAGAGGUUGGUGGGAUUUUCACAUGAGUGAAACCACUAAACAACAAAUACUAAGUGCUACAAAGCAAUGGACUAUAACGAAUGAAUACAACCAAGAUAUAGUUCAGAGUGAACGUGAUGCAGUUAAUACACUUAUUUAUACUAUAACUCUUCAUUUUGUUGGAAGUACUUCCCUGUUAGAUGCUAGGUCCGAAGACCUAUUAUCCAAUUUAAGAUGUUCGACAUUAUCCCACUACAAAUGGUAUAAAGACGUAUUCUUCUCCCGUCUCCUUUCUCGGGAAGAUAGUAGUGCGGAUCAUUGCAAAGAAAAAGUUAUAGGAGGAUUGCCUUACCUUUUUGCUGAAAAAGUAAAAACUAGGCUGAAAAAUAAGCAUGGAGGAAUAAUCCCUUAUUCUUUAUACACUUUAGGAGAACUUUCGGCAGAAAUAUGCUCAGAAGGACUUGCCCUUUGUACCGACUUGAAACUUAAAAGACAACUUGAUAAACAAAAAAUGACAGGUAAAAAGGAACUAGGAGACUUCUGUGAGCAGUUUGGAUACAACACAAUAUCAGUAUCCAAUAAGCCAGUCAAAAGGAAAUACAAAGAUAGAAAAUACAGAUCUAAUAAAAAAAUUAGUAAAAAGGAUAAAUUUACUAGAAAAUUCAGUCCACAAAACAAUUUCAAAACCUCAAAAAGAAAGCGGAGAUUACCAGUCUGUUAUAACUGUGGAAAAGUAGGACACUAUCAAAAUAAUUGCAAAGUAAAAAGGAAAAUUAGUACUCUACAAAUAGACGAGGAAAUAAAAAGUCAAAUAUUUCAAAUAUUACAAAUAGAUAAUGAGUCAGAAAAUAGCUCAUCAAGUUCUGAAAUUGACCAUUGAUUGGAGAAUUAGAAGAUGAAUCUUUGAUAUUUAGUAGUUCAGAUUCUGAUGAAGAAAUGAAUAAAUGUUUUUGCAAUACAUUAACGGAUGAGUACACGAGUCACUAGAUUUAUGCCACUGUGCCUUUCCAUGGCUCUCUUGGCCUAACUUCGGCGAGGGCUACUAUGACUUUGGUCUCAACGCUCAGACUUAUUUCUAAGUGGUAAAUUUUAUUAAGUUGCUAACUUUUAGGAUAGUAUUAUCGCCUGACAAUUCACUAACUUGGCUCUGAUACCAAUUUAACUCAAGGCCUAAUUGAUUGCUAAGUUAAGCAAGUAUUGAAGAGAUCUAAUUGAUUGCUAAAUUAAGCAAGUAAUAAAUCAAUAUUAUCCUCUAAAAAUAAAUCUAUUGAGUUUAAUAUACAGCAGAACAACUAAGAUUAUAAGCAAGAAUAUAGGAGAUAUAUCAAUGACUAUCCAAUUAAUAUAAGUAACUUAUCUAAAUCUUAUGCUUAAGAUAAACUUUAUUUGCAUAGCAAGGAAAGGCAAUACAGAUACAAACUUUUACAGGAAGCACUUACAUUGCACAGGCACAGAAACUUGAGAAGAGUUUCUACUCCUCGGGACAGUAACUAGGUAGCUUAUGCCAAUUACAAUCACACAAACUCACAUAAAAUCACUCACUAUACAAUAUUUUUUUUUUUUUAGAGAAAAAAGAUGAGAAUAUAGAAGAUCAGAAUGCUUCAGAGAUUGUGAGAGGGUAUUAGAGAGAUGGCAUAGAAUAUUGAGAACAGAGAAACAGCUCAGAGAGCUUUGAACUAAUGGAUUAUCAGAGCUUGAACAUUUAUCAGAAGAGAGGGUUUGCAAAGAGCUUUUAAGUUUGAGAAUAAAACAUGAGAGCAUAGGAUUAAAUAAGGUAUUACCCGAGCCUGGAGUAGACUUGUAGUAGAGCAGAAGGAAUGAAUGGGAGAAGGACGAGAUGUGCUUCUAACAGAGUUGUAGAGAGUUUGAAUAGGAGGAGA
This 6186-nucleotide long non-coding RNA is filed under the name Amborella trichopoda. Its description in RNAcentral is "long non-coding RNA (ATRI_LNC004672)". The record is from RNAcentral. Lineage: Eukaryota; Viridiplantae; Streptophyta; Magnoliopsida; Amborellales; Amborellaceae.